Molecule: non-coding RNA, 112 nt
Organism: Acanthosepion pharaonis
Lineage: Eukaryota; Metazoa; Mollusca; Cephalopoda; Sepiida; Sepiidae
Source: the annotation of a GenBank genome assembly
UACGGCCGCAUCAUGUUGAAACCCUGGACCCCGUACAAUCACCGAAGUUAAGCAACGUCGAGGCUGGUCAGUAUCUAGAUGGGCGACCGCUUGGGAAUCCCAGAUGUUGUAA